Molecule: ribosomal RNA, 468 nt
Filed under: uncultured bacterium
Lineage: Bacteria
Description: partial 16S ribosomal RNA
Rfam family: Bacterial small subunit ribosomal RNA
Source: RNAcentral
GAUGAACGCUGGCGGCGUGCUUAACACAUGCAAGUCGAACGGUGAAGGCGGAGCUUGCUCUGCUGGAUCAGUGGCGAACGGGCGAGUAACACGUGAGCAAUCUGCCCCUGACUCUGGGAUAAGCGCUGGAAACGGCGUCUAAUACUGGAUACGAGCUGCGACGGCAUCUUCAGCAGCUGGAAAGAAUUUCGGUCAGGGAUGAGCUCGCGGCCUAUCAGCUUGUUGGUGAGGUAAUGGCUCACCAAGGCGUCGACGGGUAGCCGGCCUGAGAGGGUGACCGGCCACACUGGGACUGAGACACGGCCCAGACUCCUACGGGAGGCAGCAGUGGGGAAUAUUGCACAAUGGGCGAAAGCCUGAUGCAGCAACGCCGCGUGAGGGACGACGGCCUUCGGGUUGUAAACCUCUUUUAGCAGGGAAGAAGCGAAAGUGACGGUACCUGCAGAAAAAGCGCCGGCUAACUACGUG